AAGGUCUGUACGGUCACUGUAGGACUAUCUAGGAACAUAAAUAUGUGCUCUAUAAAACAAUAUUACUGAAUUUAGCCGCCAUGCCAAUGACCAUUUAAUAAUAAUAUUCCUUCAGACCUAUUUCGGUUUAUGAGCAUGUAAAUAAUCACUUCUUCAGAAUAAUAUAACAAUCCCUUAGCAACUUUAACAGUUGCCUACAUGAACAAGCAAUAGAAAGGAAAAUACAUGUUAUAACUUAGGUUUAUUUAAUGCAGCUCAGCCACUAGAAUAAAAAAGAAAACAAGGCAGCUGAGUCUGUAAGCACAGCGUGAUCUUUUCUUGCAGACUCAGCUGUAUAGCAGUACAAAAGAACCAGAACCCAAAAAAGAGCUGCAUGAAGUGUGUUCUCUAUUACCUGCCUCAGAAAGCAGCCUCACAAAAUACUGGACUUUGUUAUUAGAUGAGUCUCAGGCAUCACAGCUGCCUGCAGAUUUCUUAGGAGUCUACUGGAAGAGAAGUUGGAAGCUGAUCGCUUGACUCGGAGACAAACAGAUCUAUGAGAUACAAAGAGUUGCUACAGAGACAAGAAUGAGAUACUGAGAGACUUUUCAUCUCACAAAAAGAAAUAGCUGAUCAGGGUUUCACAGAGGGCACUGUGAUGUUCCUGUCUGAUAUCCAUGACCUUGUGUUAGAGAGAAUUCUGAAAGUGUUUGUGCAGCUAUUUACUGGGUAUCACAUUAUGUAUAUGUGCUUAUUAAGAGAAUAACAUAUGAGUUUGCCUAUAAUCAUUGUAGCUGAUAUUG
This 782-nucleotide long non-coding RNA is filed under the name Chloebia gouldiae (Gouldian finch). RNAcentral describes it as "Erythrura gouldiae (Gouldian finch) lncRNA (ENSEGOG00005000828.1)". Lineage: Eukaryota; Metazoa; Chordata; Aves; Passeriformes; Passeridae. The record is from RNAcentral.